UAACGGUCAGUAUGCCUGUCUGUCACACAGGAGACCGGGGUUCGACUCCCCG
RNAcentral lists this transfer RNA (52 nucleotides) under Compsopogon caeruleus. RNAcentral's name for it is "partial tRNA". It matches the Rfam family "tRNA", at positions 13 to 63 of the family's 71-position model. Rfam says of the family: Transfer RNA (tRNA) molecules are approximately 80 nucleotides in length. Their secondary structure includes four short double-helical elements and three loops (D, anti-codon, and T loops). Lineage: Eukaryota; Rhodophyta; Compsopogonophyceae; Compsopogonales; Compsopogonaceae. The record is from RNAcentral.